AACGAACGCUGGCGGCAGGCCUAACACAUGCAAGUCGAACGCUCCGCAAGGGGAGUGGCAGACGGGUGAGUAACACGUGGGAACCUUCCCAUCGCUACGGAAUAGCUCAGGGAAACUUGGGGUAAUACCGUAUACGCCCGAAAGGGGAAAGAUUUAUCGGCGAUGGAUGGGCCCGCGGCUGAUUAGCUAGUUGGUGAGGUAACGGCUCACCAAGGCGACGAUCAGUAGCUGGUCUGAGAGGACGACCAGCCACACUGGGACUGAGACACGGCCCAGACUCCUACGGGAGGCAGCAGUGGGGAAUAUUGGACAAUGGGCGCAAGCCUGAUCCAGCCAUGCCGCGUGAGUGACGAAGGUCUUCGGAUUGUAAAGCUCUUUUGGCGGGACGAUAAUGACGGUACCCGCAGAAUAAGCCCCGGCUAACUUCGUGCCAGCAGCCGCGGUAAU
RNAcentral lists this ribosomal RNA (447 nucleotides) under uncultured bacterium. Its description in RNAcentral is "bacterial SSU rRNA". It matches the Rfam family "Bacterial small subunit ribosomal RNA", at positions 29 to 524 of the family's 1533-position model. The record is from RNAcentral.